Molecule: ribosomal RNA, 366 nt
Filed under: Triticum aestivum (bread wheat)
Lineage: Eukaryota; Viridiplantae; Streptophyta; Magnoliopsida; Poales; Poaceae
Description: partial small subunit ribosomal RNA
Source: RNAcentral
AUGCGGCAUAUUUGUUUGUCCACAUCACGUGAUCCUCACCAUGUUCGUUUGUUAAGAGAAACAGAACACCAUGCCACUGUAAUGUUUCAAAUAUUCUAUGGUUUACUUAUUUAUUUUAGAAAAAAAAUGUAUUUCAGCAUGUUGUUUGAUGAUCACCCUUUUUUAGAUCGUUAUUAUCCUAUUUUAAAUAAAUACAUCAGAGUUGUGUUUAAAUGUGCAUUACUUUUUCUUUAUGUAACCUCUAUUCAGUUCUACUUUAAUUUGUUGCAAUGCAGGGGACAGAGUGCAUCUUGCAAGAACUUAAUCUAUUUCUUUGCACGAAGCUUCCGGCCGGAAGCCCCACUUUACAUUUUGCAAAGGAUGUGA